UGGAGGUGUGCUAUGCAGGGAGUGUUGGAAUACUCGAGGUACAGUACAUAGGAAGUGCCGCUGCACUGGAGGUGUGAAUACAGGAAGUCCUGGUGUACUGGAGGUGUGAAUACAGGAAGUCCUGGUGUACUGGAGGUGUGGAUACAGGAAGUCCUGGUGUACUGGAGGUGUGGAUACAGGAAGUCCUGGUGUACUGGAGGUGUGGAUACAGGAAGUCCUGGUGUACUGGAGGUGUGGAUACAGGAAGUCCUGGUGUACUGGAGGUGUGAAUACAGGAAGUCCUGGUGUACUGGAGGUGUGAAUACAGGAAGUCCUGGUGUACUGG
Molecule: long non-coding RNA, 325 nt
Organism: Bos taurus (domestic cattle)
Lineage: Eukaryota; Metazoa; Chordata; Mammalia; Artiodactyla; Bovidae
Source: Ensembl